Molecule: ribosomal RNA, 497 nt
Filed under: uncultured bacterium
Lineage: Bacteria
Description: partial 16S ribosomal RNA
Rfam family: Bacterial small subunit ribosomal RNA
Source: RNAcentral
GACGAACGCUGGCGGCGUGCCUAAUACAUGCAAGUUGAGCGCUGAAGGUUGGUACUUGUACCAACUGGAUUAGCAGCGAACGGGUGAGUAACGCGUGGGGAAUCUGCCUUUGAGCGGGGGACAACAUUUGGAAACGAAUGCUAAUACCGCAUAAAAACUUUAAACACAAGUUUUAAGUUUGAAAGAUGCAAUUGCAUCACUCAAAGAUGAUCCCGCGUUGUAUUAGCUAGUUGGUGAGGUAAAGGCUCACCAAGGCGAUGAUACAUAGCCGACCUGAGAGGGUGAUCGGCCACAUUGGGACUGAGACACGGCCCAAACUCCUACGGGAGGCAGCAGUAGGGAAUCUUCGGCAAUGGACGAAAGUCUGACCGAGCAACGCCGCGUGAGUGAAGAAGGGUUUCGGAUCGUAAAACUCUGUUGGUAGAGAAGAACGUUGGUGAGAGUGGAAAGCUCAUCAAGUGACGGUAACUACCCAGAAAGGGACGGCUAACUACGUG